RNAcentral lists this transfer RNA (86 nucleotides) under Marinicella sp. Its description in RNAcentral is "tRNA-Leu". It matches the Rfam family "tRNA". Rfam says of the family: Transfer RNA (tRNA) molecules are approximately 80 nucleotides in length. Their secondary structure includes four short double-helical elements and three loops (D, anti-codon, and T loops). Further hydrogen bonds mediate the characteristic L-shaped molecular structure. tRNAs have two regions of fundamental functional importance: the anti-codon, which is responsible for specific mRNA codon recognition, and the 3' end, to which the tRNAs corresponding amino acid is attached (by aminoacyl-tRNA synthetases). tRNAs cope with the degeneracy of the genetic code in two manners: having more than one tRNA (with a specific anti-codon) for a particular amino acid; and 'wobble' base-pairing, i.e. permitting non-standard base-pairing at the 3rd anti-codon position. RNAcentral also lists the same sequence under 1 other name. Lineage: Bacteria; Pseudomonadati; Pseudomonadota; Gammaproteobacteria; Lysobacterales; Marinicellaceae. The record is from RNAcentral.
GCCGAAGUGGUGGAAUUGGUAGACACGCUAUCUUGAGGGGGUAGUGACCAUCGGUCGUGCCGGUUCAAGUCCGGCCUUCGGCACCA